Molecule: long non-coding RNA, 782 nt
Organism: Alligator sinensis (Chinese alligator)
Lineage: Eukaryota; Metazoa; Chordata; Crocodylia; Alligatoridae
Exons: 3
Source: RefSeq, a predicted model, not a curated record
CGGCGCUGAGGAGAUGCUGAAACAGCUACCAAGAGACUCUAUGGGCAUCCUGAUACCCUGGUGGGGGGAACCAGCCAGUCAGCCAAAAAGGGAACACUCUAAAACUAAAGUUAAGGAACUUCUUGGCCCUGAUCUUGCAAUCAAAUAUAAGUGAGAUGCCAAAUGGACUUCAGUAUGAUUCUUUAUAGGCACAAGUCUGCCUGUCUGGUUCUGAACACAAGAACAUGGUCUAUAUUGCUAAAAGAGACCAGAAAAAAUGUAACUUCCAAUAGGUACAUCACACCAAAAUACUUGCUUGUUAGAAGCUCAAGUGAUUGGAAAAAUAUCUCUUAUAUCAACAGCCAUAUGCAUUUUGAAGCUCCUGAUACAAAGUCUAUAUUGGUUUUAAAAUGUACCUUAAAAAAUAUCCAUGUGCCAGUCCCUAUUUUGACUCCAUAAUGUUGUUAGGAUCAAUAGUAAAAUGGGAAGGAUGCCAACAAAACAGGAUUUUUCCAUUUAAUUCAAGAAGACAAUUAUGUGGCUUCUUUUUAACAUAGUUGAAAUUCUCUAUGUUAACUGUUUUCAGCAAGUACAUGGCCUUCUUUUUCAUUUUUGACCAUGGAAUUACAUUGUAUUAAAAAAUAAGUCUAUUUUAAGAAAAAAGGAUCUGUGUGGCACAGUAGACAGAUUUGUUUAAGAAUAUAAUAGCACCUGUUAUCAUUCCUCACUGUCAAUUGCACUUGUAAAAAUGAGACAUAACUUCUGCUAUAUUUAAUAAAACCAAGCAGCAGCUUAUCUCUGCU